UCGAGAGGCUUCCACAAUGGGGGAAACCCUGAUGGAGCGACGCCGCGUGGGUGAUGAAGGUCUUCGGAUCGUAAAGCCCUUUCAGCAGGGAAGAGAGUGUUGGGUGAUAAUACCACCUGGUGCACGACGGUACCUGCAGAAGAAGCUCCGGCUAACUCCGUGCCAGCAGCCGCGGUAAGACGGGGGGAGCAAGCGUUGUUCGGAUGUACUGGGCGUAAAGGGCGUCUAGGCGGGUUCGUAAGUCAUGUGUGAAACCCCCCGGCUCAACCGGGGAUCUGCACGUGAUACUGCUGAUCUUGAGUAUGGAAGAGGAAAGCGGAAUUCCGGGUGUAGCGGUGAAAUGCGUAGAUAUCUGGAAGAACACCGGUGGCGAAGGCGGCUUUCUGGUCCAUUACUGACGCUGAAGCGCGAAAGUGUGGGGAGCAAACA
RNAcentral lists this ribosomal RNA (429 nucleotides) under uncultured prokaryote. RNAcentral describes it as "bacterial SSU rRNA". It matches the Rfam family "Bacterial small subunit ribosomal RNA", at positions 355 to 774 of the family's 1533-position model. The record is from RNAcentral.